RNAcentral lists this small nuclear RNA (125 nucleotides) under Vombatus ursinus (common wombat). RNAcentral's name for it is "U1 spliceosomal RNA (ENSVURG00010002295.1)". It matches the Rfam family "U1 spliceosomal RNA". Rfam says of the family: U1 is a small nuclear RNA (snRNA) component of the spliceosome (involved in pre-mRNA splicing). Its 5' end forms complementary base pairs with the 5' splice junction, thus defining the 5' donor site of an intron. The record is from RNAcentral. Lineage: Eukaryota; Metazoa; Chordata; Mammalia; Diprotodontia; Vombatidae.
AGGUUUAGCUGGUUGGGGAAACACCAUGAUCACAGAGAUAGCUUUCCCAGGGUGAGGCUCAUGCAUUGCCUUUUGGCUAUGCUUAGUCUACAGCACAGUUUGUAGUAGUAGGGACCUUUUCCUUG